CGACGUAGGUAACCUGCCUGGUAGCGGGGGAUAACUAUUGGAAACGAUAGCUAAUACCGCAUAAGGGUAGAUGUUGCAUGACAUUUGCUUAAAAGGUGCAAUUGCAUCACUACCAGAUGGACCUGCGUUGUAUUAGCCAGUUGGUGGGGUAACGGCUCACCAAGGCGACGAUACAUAGCCGACCUGAGAGGGUGAUCGGCCACACUGGGACUGAGACACGGCCCAG
Molecule: ribosomal RNA, 226 nt
Filed under: uncultured bacterium
Lineage: Bacteria
Description: partial 16S ribosomal RNA
Rfam family: Bacterial small subunit ribosomal RNA
Source: RNAcentral